ACGAACCUGGGGUGCGCGAUACUCCUGUUAUUUUGAACCUACAUUACUUUAAACGGGACUCUUAUAUCUCUGUAAUAUGUCAGGCCUCCGAUUUUGCAGUGGAAGACAGAAAAUCAGAUGCGGACACCCACCUGGCGCCAGCUAGGAGUCAAAAUACAGGAACCGGCAUUUCGGGAUACAA
This 181-nucleotide non-coding RNA is filed under the name Suipraeoptans intestinalis. RNAcentral describes it as "6S RNA". It matches the Rfam family "6S / SsrS RNA". From Rfam's summary of the family: E. coli 6S RNA was the first non coding RNA to be sequenced, but its function was unknown until recently. It consists of 184 nucleotides that fold into an extended hairpin structure with a large single-stranded internal bulge. The 6S RNA specifically associates with RNA polymerase holoenzyme containing the sigma70 specificity factor. The record is from RNAcentral. RNAcentral also lists the same sequence under 1 other name. Lineage: Bacteria; Bacillati; Bacillota; Clostridia; Lachnospirales; Lachnospiraceae.